Marmota flaviventris (yellow-bellied marmot) is the source of this 841-nucleotide long non-coding RNA. RefSeq lists it as uncharacterized. Lineage: Eukaryota; Metazoa; Chordata; Mammalia; Rodentia; Sciuridae. The record is from RefSeq and is a predicted model, not a curated record.
AGGACAGCUCACUGUAAGCUGACCCGGCUGCCGCACAGCCUGUGGCCUCCCGCCUGCCCAUCCCAACGCUUCAGGGCUGUCAGCCUCGGAGAUAAUGACCAGACCUGGGAAGUGUGGACAGAGAGAUUCCAGAACGCAUUCUAACCCCGAGGCCUCUUUAUCCAGAGAGAGGCGUGCGUGACUGUGGGACACAUGCUUGUGCCCGAAAGGAUGUUUCGAGACUCUGAGAAGAAGGAAGGACAUCAUCUCAGAAUAAAGCACCUUCUUUCCUAAGAUCAAGCCCUGGAGAUUGUGCACAGACACAUUCCUGAGUCAGGCCUGCCAUCCAGGUGGUGUCUGCUCAGGGUUCUCUUGCAGAUCCACAGGCACACAGACCCAGGGGUUUGUGUGGCCCUGCGGGGACUUACCCUCAGCUCAGUGGUCUCCCUGCUGUCUAUGAUGAGGUCACAGGUCCAAGCUUCAAAAAGGCAAAUCAGUGUGGCUCUACCUGGGGUUCCACCUGUUGCUCUGUGAGUGGCUGGUCACAGGGGAACCAGAGAAGAUGGGACCAGCCGCUGAAACCCGCCAGAAAUUAGCCUUUCAGUACAGCAGUCGUCAGAGGGCUGUCGAAGAUCAUGACCAUCUUCAGAGGCUGUCUACCACUGCAGGUUAUGGAACCCCAGGGGAUUUGCCGGACUGAAGCCAGCUCUUGUCCCAAAUGCCUUGCCCAGCACGCUCUGGCUAGACUUGGCAUUCACUCGUCAUCCUUGUCCUCCAGGAAUACGCAACCACUGGAACUCCACACCAUGUACAACCACAAGAACGGCAAGUUAUGCUCCGUGUAUGUGUGAUAUAUCAAAAU